GAUUAGUGGAUCAACAGGUAUUAAACAGUUUAGAACAGUAGAUGGUUUCGGUCGAUAGUGGAUAUUUGGGUCUUUAAGGGUUAAAAUAGUGACUCGUCUCCCACUAAAAAAGUCACAAUCACAUCCAGUGAACUGCCUAAAGACUAAUAUUAAAAGAGAUUUAAACCUAAAACUUAAAAGGUAUAGUGUUUUGUUUUGUUUUGUUUAUAAACCACUCACAGGCCAAACCAGUGUAACAUGACUACACACUUCAACUCCUUUUGCUUUGUAAUAUGACAUGUAGCUAAUGUUUCGUGUUUUUAUGAUUUGUUGGAGUUUCUUCUAUGGUUUUUUUCAAGAGUAAAAACAAAUCCGGAGUGUUUUCCAGUCGACUGUGACAGCUGCUGCUCGUCUAAUGACGUCAACACUUGCACAACUCAUAAACACGGGAAUCUUUUCCCUCAUAAGUUACAUGAAUGCGCCAUCAGCAGUUACAUCGUUUUCUGCGGCAGACCUGCAGAGAAGGUUAAAAAUAUCUGUGAAAAAAACGUUAUUUCAGCCUCAGAGAACCAUGGGAAAUCUUUGGUCGUUACAGAAGCCCAUUUCAUUCAAAGUGAUCAAAGAAAAGAUCCUGU
Sphaeramia orbicularis (orbiculate cardinalfish) is the source of this 614-nucleotide long non-coding RNA. RefSeq lists it as uncharacterized. The record is from RefSeq and is a predicted model, not a curated record. Lineage: Eukaryota; Metazoa; Chordata; Actinopteri; Kurtiformes; Apogonidae. The transcript has 2 exons.